UGCGCAGGCGGGCUAUUAAGUCAGUGGUGAAAUCUCUCGGCUCAACCGAGAAACUGCCAUUGAAACUGAUAGUCUUGAGUAUGGUUGUGGUAGGCGGAAUAUAGCAUGUAGCGGUGAAAUGCUUAGAUAUGCUAUAGAACACCGAUCGCGAAGGCAGCUUACCAAGCCAUUACUGACGCUCAUGCACGAAAGCGUGGGGAGCAAACAGGAUUAGAUACCCUGGUAGUC
RNAcentral lists this ribosomal RNA (228 nucleotides) under uncultured bacterium. RNAcentral's name for it is "partial 16S ribosomal RNA". It matches the Rfam family "Bacterial small subunit ribosomal RNA", at positions 568 to 795 of the family's 1533-position model. The record is from RNAcentral.